RNAcentral lists this ribosomal RNA (279 nucleotides) under uncultured bacterium. Its description in RNAcentral is "partial 16S ribosomal RNA". It matches the Rfam family "Bacterial small subunit ribosomal RNA", at positions 506 to 784 of the family's 1533-position model. The record is from RNAcentral.
UGCCAGCCGCCGCGGUAAUACGGAGGGGGCUAGCGUUGCUCGGAAUUACUGGGCGUAAAGCGCGCGUAGGCGGCUGUACAAGUCAGGGGUGAAAGCUACAGGCUCAACCUGUAAAUUGCCUCUGAGACUGUAUGGCUUGAGUUCUGCAGGGGAAAGUGGAAUUCAUGGUGUAGCGGUGAAAUGCGUAGAUAUCAUGGAGAACACCUAUGGCGAAGGCAGCUUUCUGGGCAGAAACUGACGCUGAGGCGCGAAAGCUAGGGUAGCGAACAGGAUUAGAUA